CGUUGACAACAUGGCAGCUCCUCCAGUGGCUCCUUGCUCAGAAGCACUCAUCAUCGAAAUUGAGCGGUGUCCAUGGCUAUGGAACGCAAGCCGUAUGGACUACAGGGACACUGGGCAGCGCAAAAAUUCCUGGAAGGCAAUUGGAAUCGCUUUCUGCAGCGACUCUAACACCUGCUGUCAGGCUUGGCUGGCCAUGAGGGCCAAGUAUGCGAGAGAAUCGAAGAAACAAAGAGGCCGGAGCGGUGCUGGCCGCGAUGGUCUUGCCGUGCCAACAUGGCACCUCUUCAAGUAACUGGCCUUCCUUAAGGGCCAGAUUCAGCACCGACGCACCAAAGUGCUCCCUGUUGCGGGGGGAGUGGCGUCCACUUCUGCAGCGGCAGCAGACGUUGAAAAAUGAGGCGUGAGCCCAGAGGCAAGUUUGCUUACACGAGAUCCUUGCGGAAAUGUAUUGCCCUGGAGAGACCGCAACCCCCGCAGAAAAUAGACAGCCUGGGAUGCCUGCUGAUGCCGAGAUGGAAGACAUACUGUAGCUUGAAGACAUACAUUUUAUUUAACAACUGCCUUCGAUAAGCAUGUUUGCAAGUGGCUCCUGUGUAAUUACCCUUUUCUCACUCUCCUCUUUCAUUUAAGCGAUUGGCUAUUCUUGGAGGCAGGUCCAAA
Molecule: long non-coding RNA, 660 nt
Filed under: Ixodes scapularis (black-legged tick)
Lineage: Eukaryota; Metazoa; Arthropoda; Arachnida; Ixodida; Ixodidae
Description: uncharacterized LOC120847876
Source: RNAcentral